This 374-nucleotide ribosomal RNA is filed under the name uncultured organism. RNAcentral's name for it is "partial 16S ribosomal RNA". It matches the Rfam family "Bacterial small subunit ribosomal RNA", at positions 527 to 896 of the family's 1533-position model. The record is from RNAcentral.
GUAGGUGGCAAGCGUUGUCCGGGAAUUAUUGGGGCGUAAAGCGCGCGCAGGCGGUUCUUUAAGUCUGAUGUGAAAGCCCACGGGCUCAACCGUGGAGGGUCAUUGGAAACUGGAGAACUUGAGUACAGAAGAGGAAAGCGGAAUUCCACGUGUAGCGGUGAAAUGCGUAGAGAUGUGGAGGAACACCAGUGGCGAAGGCGGCUUUCUGGUCUGUAACUGACGCUGAGGCGCGAAAGCGUGGGGAGCAAACAGGAUUAGAUACCCUGGUAGUCCACGCCGUAAACGAUGAGUGCUAAGUGCUAGGGGGUUUCCGCCCCUUAGUGCUGCAGCUAACGCAUUAAGCACUCCGCCUGGGGAGUACGGCCGCAAGGCUG